This is a long non-coding RNA of Cylas formicarius (sweet potato weevil), 1091 nucleotides long. RefSeq lists it as uncharacterized. The transcript is spliced from 3 exons. NCBI's taxonomy places the organism in Eukaryota, Metazoa, Arthropoda, Insecta, Coleoptera, Brentidae. The record is from RefSeq and is a predicted model, not a curated record.
UCGCCCCUUCUGAAGGCGGAUUCGCCGACAAGGUAUUGAUUAACCGACCUCGUGGUGGGGGAUCUCGUCCGUUAAGGAACGCAGAUGAGCCCCGGCAAAGGACACCGGUUCCCACUGUAAACUUUCUCUCCGUUUUCAUUUAAGGGACACGACUCCACGGUAAACAAUGAAGUCUGAACGGUCGAUAAAGGUUGAAAUGGCUGUUCUUCAGUACUUGCUUGUACCUGUUUUUGAGAUGUUUUGGUGUUACGUUACAAUACAAGAUGUGAACCUGCAGCAGAAUGCUUAGAACAUGACCAACGCUGUAUACCAAGCUGGAUAAAAAUCUACGACAUUUGCUUAUCAGAACGGACAAAGACUUAGUGAAGAGAAGAAAGAUCCAGGGAAGACUGUGAUGGGAAUGGUUCAACAUGUUUUCUCCAGAUCUUUGCACUAUAGUAGUUUCCAAGGUGAGGAUCAUUUUGAUGUUACCACCCUUCGAUAAUGGAGAAGCAACACGAAGAAUAAAAAGAAGAUAGUUUUCUCAGUAGAUUAACGAAGUUCUGUUGUCCGACAUCAGGAGUGGGAUCAGCAGUUUUCGGUAAUAUUCGGACAGUGAAACUGAUAAUAAUGUUAACUGUUCGAUAGAUGUAUAUAGGCUCUAGAAAGAAGAAGUGAAAAAAAUGGUCAGUCUUUGCAAAAAUAAUAAAUUUAUGGGAGUCAUGAGGAAUAUUUUGUCACUUAUUUUUUUUUGCUGUUUUGUUGCUAUGCUGUGUUGUAAGGGACGUAGUACUGAAAUUGUGAAAAUGUUCUGCUUCAUGUUCGGGCGAAAAGUUAAGAAUAAAGUUUAUCUAGUCUUUUGAACCUUCAAUUUCAAUGAACUAGAUCCCAAUGUAGCAAAACAAAACUACGAUUCGAAACAUUUUUUUUUUCAUUAAAAUGGAUAGACAAUUUUUUUUUCGGUGACAUUUGAUAUUGGGAGAAAAGUUUAUAAGAAAAUUUAUGAACAUUAUUAGUUGUGUAUACCAAGGAAUGCUUCUCUGUAAUCCUCCUGUAAUCAAAUUUAUAUUGUUAUACGUUCUUUAACUGCCGAAUUAUCUGUUGUUUAAAAA